AGUACGGCGAGUGAGCGGCACAGCUCAAUUUGAAAUCUGGCCCCCAGGGCCCGAGUUGUAAUUUGCAGAGGAUGCUUUUGGCGCGGUGCCUUCCGAGUUCCCUGGAACGGGACGCCAUAGAGGGUGAGAGCCCCGUCUGGUCGGACGCCUAGCCUGUGUAAAGCUCCUUCGACGAGUCGAGUAGUUUGGGAAUGCUGCUCUAAAUGGGAGGUAUAUGUCUUCUAAAGCUAAAUACCGGCCAGAGACCGAUAGCGCACAAGUAGAGUGAUCGAAAGAUGAAAAGCACUUUGAAAAGAGGGUUAAAUAGUACGUGAAAUUGUUGAAAGGGAAGCGCUUGUGACCAGACUUGGGCCCGGUGGAUCAUCCAGCGUUCUCGCUGGUGCACUCCGCCGGGUUCAGGCCAGCAUCAGUUCGCCGCGGGGGAAAAAGGCUUCGGGAACGUGGCUCCUACGGGAGUGUUAUAGCCCGUUGCAUAAUACCCUGGGGCGGACUGAGGUUCGCGCUCCGCAAGGAUGCUGGCGUAAUGGUCAUCAGCGACCCGU
This 542-nucleotide ribosomal RNA is filed under the name Purpureocillium lilacinum. Its description in RNAcentral is "partial large subunit ribosomal RNA". It matches the Rfam family "Eukaryotic large subunit ribosomal RNA", at positions 82 to 652 of the family's 3401-position model. Lineage: Eukaryota; Fungi; Ascomycota; Sordariomycetes; Hypocreales; Ophiocordycipitaceae. The record is from RNAcentral.